This is a long non-coding RNA of Fukomys damarensis (Damara mole-rat), 276 nucleotides long. RefSeq lists it as uncharacterized. NCBI's taxonomy places the organism in Eukaryota, Metazoa, Chordata, Mammalia, Rodentia, Bathyergidae. The transcript is spliced from 3 exons. The record is from RefSeq and is a predicted model, not a curated record.
AACAGAAGUUGAGGUAGAAGAAAGAAGCAAGUUCGCUAAUCAUCUUGGCCUUAAAUUGGAAGAUUAUUCUGGAUUAUCUGGGUGGCGUGAUCCAUCUGUCCAGAGGAAAGACAGUGAACAUAUAUAGGACUGAAUGUAGGAGAAAAGAAGAUAAAACACUGCACAAGUCAUGUGUGUGGGAAGGCAAGGCGAUAAAGAGCAGAUGUGGUCUCUUUAUGUUACCUAGGUUUGUCUUAAACUUCCAGUCCUCCUGCUGGGACUAUAGAAGAAUGCCAC